CAUAGGUUAAUGAGGCGAACCGGGGGAACUGAAACAUCUAAGUACCCCGAGGAAAAGAAAUCAACCGAGAUUCCCCCAGUAGCGGCGAGCGAACGGGGAGCAGCCCAGAGCCUGAAUCAGUGUGUGUGUUAGUGGAAGCGUCUGGAAAGGCGCGCGAUACAGGGUGACAGCCCCGUACACAAAAAUGCACAUGCUGUGAGCUCGAUGAGUAGGGCGGGACACGUGGUAUCCUGUCUGAAUAUGGGGGGACCAUCCUCCAAGGCUAAAUACUCCUGACUGACCGAUAGUGAACCAGUACCGUGAGGGAAAGGCGAAAAGAACCCCGGCGAGGGGAGUGAAAAAGAACCUGAAACCGUGUACGUACAAGCAGUGGGAGCCUCUUUAUGGGGUGACUGCGUACCUUUUGUAUAAUGGGUCAGCGACUUAUAUUCUGUAGCAAGGUUAACCGAAUAGGGGAGCCGAAGGGAAACCGAGUCUUAACUGGGCGUUAAGUUGCAGGGUAUAGACCCGAAACCCGGUGAUCUAGCCAUGGGCAGGUUGAAGGUUGGGUAACACUAACUGGAGGACCGAACCGACUAAUGUUGAAAAAUUAGCGGAUGACUUGUGGCUGGGGGUGAAAGGCCAAUCAAACCGGGAGAUAGCUGGUUCUCCCCGAAAGCUAUUUAGGUAGCGCCUCGUGAAUUCAUCUCCGGGGGUAGAGCACUGUUUCGGCAAGGGGGUCAUCCCGACUUACCAACCCGAUGCAAACUGCGAAUACCGGAGAAUGUUAUCACGGGAGACACACGGCGGGUGCUAACGUCCGUCGUGAAGAGGGAAACAACCCAGACCGCCAGCUAAGGUCCCAAAGUCAUGGUUAAGUGGGAAACGAUGUGGGAAGGCCCAGACAGCCAGGAUGUUGGCUUAGAAGCAGCCAUCAUUUAAAGAAAGCGUAAUAGCUCACUGGUCGAGUCGGCCUGCGCGGAAGAUGUAACGGGGCUAAACCAUGCACCGAAGCUGCGGCAGCGACGCUUAUGCGUUGUUGGGUAGGGGAGCGUUCUGUAAGCCUGUGAAGGUGUGCUGUGAGGCAUGCUGGAGGUAUCAGAAGUGCGAAUGCUGACAUAAGUAACGAUAAAGCGGGUGAAAAGCCCGCUCGCCGGAAGACCAAGGGUUCCUGUCCAACGUUAAUCGGGGCAGGGUGAGUCGACCCCUAAGGCGAGGCCGAAAGGCGUAGUCGAUGGGAAACAGGUUAAUAUUCCUGUACUUGGUGUUACUGCGAAGGGGGGACGGAGAAGGCUAUGUUGGCCGGGCGACGGUUGUCCCGGUUUAAGCGUGUAGGCUGGUUUUCCAGGCAAAUCCGGAAAAUCAAGGCUGAGGCGUGAUGACGAGGCACUACGGUGCUGAAGCAACAAAUGCCCUGCUUCCAGGAAAAGCCUCUAAGCAUCAGGUAACAUCAAAUCGUACCCCAAACCGACACAGGUGGUCAGGUAGAGAAUACCAAGGCGCUUGAGAGAACUCGGGUGAAGGAACUAGGCAAAAUGGUGCCGUAACUUCGGGAGAAGGCACGCUGAUAUGUAGGUGAGGUCCCUCGCGGAUGGAGCUGAAAUCAGUCGAAGAUACCAGCUGGCUGCAACUGUUUAUUAAAAACACAGCACUGUGCAAACACGAAAGUGGACGUAUACGGUGUGACGCCUGCCCGGUG
RNAcentral lists this ribosomal RNA (1678 nucleotides) under Escherichia coli. RNAcentral's name for it is "partial 23S ribosomal RNA". It matches the Rfam family "Bacterial large subunit ribosomal RNA", at positions 165 to 1868 of the family's 2925-position model. Lineage: Bacteria; Pseudomonadati; Pseudomonadota; Gammaproteobacteria; Enterobacterales; Enterobacteriaceae. The record is from RNAcentral.